GUCGGUAUCGAUUAGGGGUCAAAUCACCUCGUUGUGGCGAAUACGUUACAGUAAAACCGAGGAGCCGCAGGUUCGAAUCCUGCUACCGACA
Schizophyllum commune H4-8 is the source of this 91-nucleotide non-coding RNA. The record is from Rfam. NCBI's taxonomy places the organism in Eukaryota, Fungi, Basidiomycota, Agaricomycetes, Agaricales, Schizophyllaceae.